CCUGACCAGGAAAUACUGACCCUAUAUGACAGUGUUUCCCUCCUCCAGUACCCCCCCAACAGCCCAACUCCAGUCCUCCAGUACCCCCCAAACAGCCCAACUCCACUCCUCCAGUACCCCCAACAGCCCAACUCCAGUCCUCCAGUACCCCCCCAACAGCCCAACUCCACUCCUCCAGUACCCCCAACAGCCCAACUCCAGUCCUCCAGUACCCCCCCAACAGCCCAACUCCAGUCCUCCAGUACCCCCCCAACAGCCCAACUCCAGUCCUCCAGUGCCCAACUCCAGUCCUCCAGUACCCCCCAACAGCCCAACUCCAGUCCUCCAGUACCCCCAACAGCCCAACUCCAGUCCUCCAGUACCCCCAACAGCCCAACUCCAGUCCUCCAGUACCCCCCCAACAGCCCAACUCCAGUCCUCCAGUACCCCCAACAGCCCAACUACAGUCCUCCAGUACCCCCAACAGCCCAACUCCACUCCUCCAGUACCCCCAACAGCCCAACUCCAGUCCUCCAGUACCCCCCCAACAGCCCAACUUCAGUCCUCCAGUACCCCCAACAGCCCAACUCCAGUCUUCCAGUACCCCCCAACAGCCCAACUCCAGUCCCCCCAACAGUCCAACUCCAGUCCUCCAGUACCCCCAACAGCCCAACUCCAGUCCUCCAGUACCCCCCCAACAGCCCAACUCCAGUCCUCCAGUACCCCCAACAGCCCAACUCCAGUCCUCCAGUACCCCCCAACAGCCCAACUCCAGUCCUCCAGUACCCCCAACAGCCCAACUCCAGUCCUCCAGUACCCCCAACAGCCCAACUCCAGUCCUCCAGUACCCCCCAACAGCCCAACUCCAGUCCUCCAGUACCCCCAACAGCCCAACUCCAGUCCUCCAGUACCCCCCCAACAGCCCAACUCCAGUCCUCCAGUACCCCCCCAACAGCCCAACUCCAGUCCUCCAGUACCCCCCCAAACAGCCCAACUCCACUCCUCCAGUACCCCCAACAGCCCAACUCCAGUCCUCCAGUACCCCCCCCCAACAGCCCAACUCCAGUCCUCCAGUACCCCCCCCAACAGCCCAACUCCAGUCCUCCAGUGCCCAACUCCAGUCCUCCAGUACCCCCCAACAGCCCAACUCCAGUCCUCCAGUACCCCCCCAACAGCCCAACUCCAGUCCUCCAGUACCCCCCCAACAGCCCAACUCCAGUCCUCCAGUACCCCCCCAACAGCCCAACUCCAGUCCCCCCAACAGUCCAACUCCAGUCCUCCAGUACCCCCCCAAACAGCCCAACUCCACUCCUCCAGUACCCCCAACAGCCCAACUCCAGUCCUCCAGUAACCCCCAAACAGCCCAACUCCAGUCCUCCAGUACCCCCCCAAACAGCCCAACUCCACUCCUCCAGUACCCCCAACAGCCCAACUCCAGUCCUCCAGUACCCCCCCAACAGCCCAACUCCAGUCCUCCAGUACCCCCCCAACAGCCCAACUCCAGUCCUCCAGUGCCCAACUCCAGUCCUCCAGUACCCCCCAACAGCCCAACUCCAGUCCUCCAGUACCCCCCAACAGCCCAACUCCAGUCCUCCAGUACCCCCAACAGCCCAACUCCAGUCCUCCAGUACCCCCCCAACAGCCCAACUCCAGUCCCCCCAACAGUCCAACUCCAGUCCUCCAGUACCCCCAACAGCCCAACUCCAGUCCUCCAGUACCCCCAACAGCCCAACUCCAGUCCUCCAGUACCCCCAACAGCCCAACUCCAGUCCUCCAGUACCCCCCAACAGCCCAACUCCAGUCCUCCAGUACCCCCAACAGCCCAACUCCAGUCCUCCAGUACCCCCCAACAGCCCAACUCCAGUCCCCCCAACAGUCCAACUCCAGUCCUCCAGUACCCCAACAGCCCAACUCCAGUCCUCCAGUACCCCCCCAACAGCCCAACUCCAGUCCUCCAGUACCCCCAACAGCCCAACUCCAGUCCUCCAGUACCCCCCAACAGCCCAACUCCAGCCCUCCAGUACCCCCAACAGCCCAACUCCAGUCCUCCAGUACCCCCAACAGCCCAACUCCAGUCCUCCAGUACCCCCCAACAGCCCAACUCCAGUCCUCCAGUACCCCCAACAGCCCAACUCCAGUCCUCCAGUACCCCCAACAGCCCAACUCCAGUCCUCCAGUACCCCCCCAACAGCCCAACUCCAGUCCUCCAGUACCCCCCCAAACAGCCCAACUCCACUCCUCCAGUACCCCCAACAGCCCAACUCCAGUCCUCCAGUACCCCCCCAACAGCCCAACUCCAGUCCUCCAGUACCCCCCCAACAGCCCAACUCCAGUCCCCCCAACAGUCCAACUCCAGUCCUCCAGUACCCCCAACAGCCCAACUCCAGUCCUCCAGUACCCCCAACAGUCCAACUCCAGUCCUCCAGUACCCCCAACAGCCCAACUCCAGUCCUCCAGUACCCCCAACAGCCCAACUCCAGUCCUCCAGUACCCCCCAACAGCCCAACUCCAGUCCUCCAGUACCCCCCAACAUCCCAACUCCAGUCCUCCAGUACCCCCCCAACAGCCCAACUCCAGUCCUCCAGUACCCCCCCAACAGCCCAACUCCACUCCUCCAGUACCCCCCCAACAGCCCAACUCCAGUCCUCCAGUACCCCCCCAACAGCCCAACUCCAGUCCUCCAGUACCCCCCCAACAGCCCAACUCCAGUCCUCCAGUACCCCCCCAACAGCCCAACUCCAGUCCUCCAGUACCCCCACUCAUUUUUGUUGUUGGCCCAGAAGACAAAUUCCCCUGAUUGAACUAAUUGAGGACUUGAUGAAGUUGAAUCGGGUGUGCUUGUUUGGGGCUACAACAACAAUGUGUUCUGUUGUAGGACUGGAGGGGGGAAACGAUGCUAUAUGGGUACCGGUGGUGGGAAAAGUACUAAAAAUCUCAUUCUGUAGUAAAAGUGAAGAUAUUUUAAUAGAAAAUUACUCAAGUAAAAUUUUGUCAUCCAGUAAAAUACUACUUGAGUAAAAGUAUUUGUUUUUAAAUAUACUUAAGUAUCAAAAGUAAAAGUAUGAAUAACUAAAAAUUCCUUAUAUUAAGAAAACCAGACGUCACAAUUUUCUUGUUUUUUAUUUUCUCGGACAGCCAGGGGAACACUCCAACACUCAGACAUAAUUUAAAAACAAAGCAUUUGUGUUUAGUGAGUCCUCCAGAUCAGAGGCAGUAGGGAUGACCAGGGAUGUUCUCUGUUUAGUGAGUCCUCCAGAUCAGAGGCAGUAGGGAUGACCAGGGAUGUUCUCUGUUUAGUGAGUCCUCCAGAUCAGAGGCAGUAGGGAUGACCAGGGAUGUUCUCUGUUUAGUGAGUCCACCAGAUCAGAGGCAGUAGGGAUGACCAGGGAUGUUCUCUGUUUAGUGAGUCCUCCAGAUCAGAGGCAGUAGGGAUGACCAGGGAUGUUCUCUGUUUAGUGAGUCCACCAGAUCAGAGACAGUAGGGAUGACCAUGGAUGUUCUCUUGAUAAGUAUGCGAAUUGGACCAUUUUCUGUCCUGCUAAGCAUUCAAAAUGUACUUUUGGGUGUCAGGGAAAAUGUAUGGAGUAAAAUGUACAUAAUUUUCUUUCGGAAUGUAGUGAAGUAAAAGUCAAAAAUAUAAAUGGUAGAGUACAGAUACCCAAAAAAACACCACUGAUGGGUGCCUUAACCCAGUUAGGGAGGGUGUUUUAUAACUCUUUGCAUGACAGUAUGACACAGGGAAACUAACUGGCAAUAAUAUUUGCUGACUUGAAAAUGUGAAAUUUGUACAUUUAGCUACAUCAAAUGUUGCCCACCUUCUCCAAGUACAACAGAGCUUUUAUUAUGGUUCUGACUAGAUGGAAUACAGACUUUUUCGUAGCAGGUUAGGAGAAUGAGGUUACAGUUGUGAAAAGGGUUAGCUAAAAUGCUCUCCUAGCCUGCUAUGAAAAGUCACUUCCUGGUUGUAGCUGUACUCCAUCUUGUCCAGGGUUUCCCCAAACUCUUUUUGUUGCCAUAGCUCUACACAGCUGAUUCAAAUAAUCAACGAAUCAUCAAGCUGUGAUCAUUUGAAUCAACUGUGUAGUGUUAGGGGGGCAAAAAUCUAAAUGUGCACCCCUUGGGGUCCUGAGGACCUUGGGAAAUGCUGAUCUAGUCACAAGCCUGUAUUAUUGUCUUGACUCAAUGUGUGAAUCCCUUCCCUAGUUGGUCCCGUGUAGCUCAGCUGGUAGAGCAUGGUGUUUGCAACGCCAGGGUUUUGGGUUCGAUUCCCACGGGGGGCCAGUAUGGAAAAAAAUCUAUGAAAUGUAUGUUUUGGGUAAGAGUGUCUGCUAAAUGACUAAAAUGUAAAAAUGUGAUGUACUGUGACAUGUGUAAAAAUAAAAUUGCUGUAAAUGAAUGAGUAUAAAAUAAA
RNAcentral lists this long non-coding RNA (4390 nucleotides) under Salmo trutta (river trout). RNAcentral describes it as "lncRNA (ENSSTUG00000006688.1)". The stretch from base 4187 to 4256 matches the Rfam family "tRNA". The record is from RNAcentral. Lineage: Eukaryota; Metazoa; Chordata; Actinopteri; Salmoniformes; Salmonidae.